AGAGUUUGAUCCUGGCUCAGAUUGAACGCUGGCGGCAUGCCUUACACAUGCAAGUCGAACGGCAGCACGGGAGCAAUCCUGGUGGCGAGUGGCGAACGGGUGAGUAAUAUAUCGGAACGUGCCCAGUCGUGGGGGAUAACGCAGCGAAAGCUGUGCUAAUACCGCAUACGAUCUACGGAUGAAAGCGGGGGAUCGCAAGACCUCGCGCGAUUGGAGCGGCCGAUAUCAGAUUAGCUAGUUGGUGGGGUAAAAGCUCACCAAGGCGACGAUCUGUAGCUGGUCUGAGAGGACGACCAGCCACACUGGAACUGAGACACGGUCCAGACUCCUACGGGAGGCAGCAGUGGGGAAUUUUGGGACAAUGGGCGCAAGCCUGAUCCAGCAAUGCCGCGUGCAGGAUGAAGGCCUUCGGGUUGUAAACUGCUUUUGUACGGAACGAAACGGUCUGUCCUAAUACGAUGGGCUAAUGACGGUACCGUAAGAAUAAGCACCGGCUAACUACGUGCCAGCAGCCGCGGUAAUACGUAGGGUGCGAGCGUUAAUCGGAAUUACUGGGCGUAAAGCGUGCGCAGGCGGUUAUAUAAGACAGAUGUGAAAUCCCCGGGCUCAACCUGGGACCUGCAUUUGUGACUGUAUAGCUAGAGUACGGUAGAGGGGGAUGGAAUUCCGCGUGUAGCAGUGAAAUGCGUAGAUAUGCGGAGGAACACCGAUGGCGAAGGCAAUCCCCUGGACCUGUACUGACGCUCAUGCACGAAAGCGUGGGGAGCAAACAGGAUUAGAUACCCUGGUAGUCCACGCCCUAAACGAUGUCAACUGGUUGUUGGGUCUUCACUGACUCAGUAACGAAGCUAACGCGUGAAGUUGACCGCCUGGGGAGUACGGCCGCAAGGUUG
Molecule: ribosomal RNA, 893 nt
Filed under: uncultured beta proteobacterium
Lineage: Bacteria; Pseudomonadati; Pseudomonadota; Betaproteobacteria
Description: bacterial SSU rRNA
Rfam family: Bacterial small subunit ribosomal RNA
Source: RNAcentral